RNAcentral lists this long non-coding RNA (26025 nucleotides) under Sorghum bicolor (sorghum). Its description in RNAcentral is "long non-coding RNA (SBIC_LNC001837)". The record is from RNAcentral. Lineage: Eukaryota; Viridiplantae; Streptophyta; Magnoliopsida; Poales; Poaceae.
UCUCUCUCUCUACAUAAAUAAAGGUGGUUUUUUUGCUCUUCAUAAGGUCACAUGCUCUAACUCUCUCGUCCAUUGGAUUCGCUUUGAGAAGUAUGCAAAUACACAUCUCAAAGCAUUUUCACAUUGAGAUGUAUAUUUAUACAUUUAUCAAAGUGAAUUCAAUAGGUGGGAGAGUGAUGGUACAUAUCUUUAAGGGCAAAAUAAACUUUGCCCUACAUAGCUUUUCAGUUUGUCGUCUUUUAAUUGGCAUGCAUGAAUCGAAUAGCUAGUGAACAAUGACGAUGAUAUAGAUAUACCUAUAGCUAAUAAGUUUAGGAACAAUAUUUAUUUUCUAAUAUAAGUUGGACCCUUAAUUGUAGGACUAUUGGAACGAGAUGACCAGCAAUUUUCAGUAGUACUGCUUGUAAGAGCAUGCAUGCAGUACUUUCAACUGGGCGCUCUCUUCGAUUUCGUCAUGCAUGAGACUUUUCAUUGCUGGUUUGUUACUGCCCGGCCCACCUCAUGCAUGCACGUCUCCCUUGCGCAUUAUUACAGCAUGGGCCAUUCAUGGUUCAUAGAUCACCUCAAAAUCCAAAAAAAAAUUAAGAUUUUUUGUCAUAUCAAAUUUUACGAUAUAUAUAUAUCUAUACCUAUCUAUAAAGAGCCAAAAUUUCAGUUUGCCAAAUACUUUCUUCUGCCCAUAAUCCUGUCCGGUUAGGAUCGCCUCCUGUGCGUGUUCGGUUACGAUCGCCUCCUCCCUCCAAGGUUUCUAGAAGCCAAAAACAAAAUAAAAAACAUUCUAGGGUUCCUAAUGCAAAAUCUCAUAUUACUUACAAUCGUUACGAUGGAAGAGAGAAAAAAAUAAAAAAUUUCUAGAAUUCCCAAUGUAAAAUCUCCAAUUUAUUUUUCUUUUAUUUUUUAAAUCGGCUGAAAAUUAAUAAAUACAUAGUAAUUCAUAGAAAAAUCUAAAAAUUAUAAAACAAAUUUUGUUCAGCUCCACAUAUGUAGAUCCAUGCAGUAAACAAAAAUUAUCACAAAUUUUAGUACACUUUUUUUUGGAAAUGCUUGCCUAUGCUUUUUACUGUAAAAUUAAAAUUAUAGUUAUCUUGCUUCAAUUAUUAUAAAAAUUUAAUGGUAGCCUAUUUAAUGUGAUGCUUGAUUCAUAUUUCAUAGCAAUCCUAAUCUAAAUUAAAAAAUAAUGCUAGCAUCAAACUUCUCAUGUUUUAAUAUAAUACUGAGGCAUAUUAAGAGGUAAUAUUAGAGUGAGAUAAAAUUUAACUAUUUUCUAUUUUUAUUAUUAAAUAAAUAUGUUUUAAGCUACAUAUUAUUGUAAAUAUUAACUAUCUAAUACCAUAGAUGUUAUGGUUAUCAAUAAAAUAAAUUAUGGACUUUAAAUUUUAUAAAAAGGAUAAAUAUAAAUAGAUAUGUAGCAUUAUGUCAUCACUUUAUAGGGUUAUUUGAUGUUUUUCUUCCGUUGCAAUAUUACCAAAUUGAGGAAAAGCAAUUUUUUUAAAAAAAAAAAUUUGUGGCCCCCGGCCCCCACUCCUCCCAUGGCUCCGCUCCCCGUCCCCGUCCACCCGCCAAUCGCUCCCAUCUCCGUCCCGCCGCCGCCACUUCCUCCGUCAAGGGCGGAGGCGAGGCCGACUACGAGGUCUCCGACGACCACCGUGCCGCGUGGGAGCGUCACGAGCAAUCAGUGCAGGAGCUCCUCUAGCAGCGCCGCGCCUACGCCAUGGCCGUGUGGGCCUGCCUCUGCCGCCUCGACGAGCGUGAAAUGGAGCGCCACGACCGCCUCCGAGCCCUCAUGGUCCGGCUCGAGGCCGAUGGCUAGGUCGACCGUCUCCUCCGCGCGCAGGAGGACGACCACGCUGCAUGCACCGGCAAGGAGGAGCAGAUUCAGUACCCCUUCUUCACCAAGGGCACGCAGGAGCUUCUCAAGGCGCGUGUCGACAUUGCACAGUACUCGCUGCCCCGUGCCAAGGCCAGGAUUGAGAUGGCCAAGCACUGCCACGAGGAUUCCGAUGAAGACCUAUAGGCGGAGGCCGAACUCGUCGUGAAGCAAGCUGGGGAGUUUGUCCUAGAGUGUAGCGAGAUUGGAGAUGAUCGCCCUCUCAUCGGCUGUUCCUUCUCUUGUGGUGCAUCAAUGCUGGCCACAAGGUACUUCCUCUUAAUCAUACGGAAUUACAUAUGCUUUGUUCAUGUAUGUCUCGAACAAAUGCUGUGAUGAAAGGAUGUUGAGAACUGUUACCUAUUAAUUGUAUUAUUAUGUGGCGGUUGUGGCUGUGGCUUUUGUCACUAACUGCGCCGCUGGUUUUGCUUUGGAUUGCACUGAGCGACAAUAAAAGUGGACUGAUCUGACGUGCUGUUUAAUGGAUUUGUUCCCUCAUGUGAUGCUUUUAUGCUUUCUUUACGUAAUAUUUUUCCCCUUUUAAUUUCUAUACAUAUUUGUAUAUCAUUUUUUACUCUUUUCCCUCCACUGUAUAUGAAGAUUUCUGAUUUUUUUUUAUGGGACGUCAUUUUUUUCUAUUUCUUCUCAAGGUGAUUUCCGAUAUUAGUUUGGUAGUUUUGUUUGUUUUGGUGGGGUUAUAUUUAUUUGAUUCAAGGUUGGACUAAACUCACUUAAAUUUUACAAAAAGUGUACAAUUAUCAAAUAAUAAAUUCUAUACCCCGUUGCAACGCACGGGCAUGUUUUGCUAGUAUAGUAUUAAAUAAAGAUUAAAAAAUAACUAAUUGCUCAGUUUAACUGUAAUUUGUGAGAUGAAUCUUUUGAGUCUAGUUAAUUCAUGGUUGGACAAUAAUUACUAAAUAUAAACAAAAUUGCUACGGUAUUAAAAUUUUAAAAAAAGUUAGAUGUAAACAAGGCCUCACUCGUACGUCUCUUCAGUACUGGCCGGCUAAAAUCAUAUCUCCUCCUUUGUAUAUUCUUGCAUAGUAUAUAUUAUUUAAGGACCUAUUUAGUUCGCAUUCUAAAAAGUUUUUGAACUACUGUAGCACAUGUAUAACUAUAGCAAUUAGUAUUUACUUAUGGAGUAAUUAGACUCAAAAUAUUCUUCUCGCAAAAUGCAUACAAACAAUAAUAAUUAGUUAUUUUUUCUAUAUAUAUAAUGUUUCAUGUACAUGUUCAAACAUUUGAUAGGAUGGGGUAAACAUUUUUUAAGUGGGAACUAAACAAGGCCUAAGUAAUUAAGUUUGGGAGGACAACGUACAAAAAUAUGCAAUAAUGUGCAUACACAUACUUGCAUAGAUUGAGAGGACAACGUAGAGGAAAUGGACUCAUCAGGCCGAUCCGGCGGGUAAGAUAUUUUUCAUGGGGGUCAAUGGACGACGAACGAGGCAGAUGGGCGGAUGCAAUGCAAUGUGAGCCACAUAUAUGUAUACAGGUUCUGUUCGAUUAUCUGAUGACCAUCACAAGCUAGCUUCCAACAUACUAACGUACAGUGUAGCAUGGGGCACUCGACUCGAGUGUAGUAUGUUGUGUUGUGUGUGCCAGCUCAGCUCAGCUCUUCAAGGACAAGCUAGCUAGGAGGCUCUUACCACUCAUGCAUGAGCAGCUAGAGCUAAAGCCCAGCUGGUAUAUAUGUUAUGUAGCAGGCCUAAGCUAAGCUAGCUACUAGCUAUAUAUAAACCCAGGCGAGGCUCUACCUUAGGUACGUACAUACCACACGGUGUCAACAGCCCUAAACUUGAUCAUCCUUCUUCUUCUUCCUACUUAAUAUAUACUGUAUAGCUCUAGCUCUGCUUCCGAUCCUGUACGUACGUAGUACCCACUACACUAGUACACAAUAAGUAGCUAGGCAGCAAUGGCGGCCUCAUCAGUGACGACGACGAUGAUGAGCUUCCGGCCGGCUGCUGCUUCCCUGCUGGUCCUGAUGUUGGUGGUCGUCGGCAGCAGCGAGGUCGCGGCGUGCGGCAGCUGCCCGACACCACCAUCAUCUCCUCCUCCACCGCCGCCCAGCAGCGGCGGCACGCCGUGCCCUCCGCCGCCGUCCAGCUCCGGUAAGUGCCCCAAGAACGCGCUGAAGCUGGGCGUGUGCGCCAACGUGCUGGGCCUCGUCAAGGUCUCCAUCGGCAAGGUGCCCACCGACUCGUGCUGCCCGCUGCUGGACGGGCUCGCCGACCUGGAGGCCGCCGUCUGCCUCUGCACCGCGCUCAAGGCCAACGUGCUCGGCAUCAACCUCGACGUCCCCGUCAAGCUCACCUUGCUCCUUAACUACUGCGGCAAGAGCGUCCCCGAGGGCUUCGUCUGCGCCUAAUUAUAUAAACCAUUAUAUAUUGUCAUGCAUUCAUGUCACUGUGAUUCUAUCUUCUUCCGGAUGUACGUUUUUGUAACGCGCGCAUUAUUGUUCGUUAUAUUACGUUGUUGCCUGCCUUCUCUUUUUUUACUCUUCCUCACUUGCAUUACAUUACAUAUAUAUAAUUGCGUGACAAUACAAAUUGGGUGUAAAAGGAAGAAAUGCAUGGUCCGUCAACGUACAAUAAGAAUGUACUAGUUUAUAUUUUCUUGGUAAUUUAAAUGGAACUUGAAAGAUUUGUCGGACAUAUAUAUUAUUUGUUGACUGCAUAAGUUUAAUCUAGUGAUGGUUUUGCUAUAACUAUCUUAGACCGCUGCUAAUUAAACUUUAACAUAUAAUUCAGGUUACAUUUUUCAAAAAAAAAUCAAAAAAUAUUUCAGGUUACCAAAAAAAAGGUGCUGUUCUUUAUUUGCAUGCUACCACACAAGGACAGUUAAGAGGUUUAAUUUGAUCACUAGCUUAUAUAUAAUAUACACACACGGCAACGCUAUUCUACACCCUAGGUGUAGAAUAUUAUUCUACACCGUAAAUCAAAACUAAGCAGAAAGAAUAUUGAGAAGUACUGAAGAGCAUUCAGUAUUAUCUAGUACUACACCUAGAACCAUAAAAUACUGAACAAUAGUGAAACACGAAUACUGAACGAUACUGAAUUUUGCUCAGUAUAACAGUUCGGUGUAGAAUAGCAUGAUGUUGGGUACCAUAAUAAGGGAUACCCAAAUCAGAGCAAUAAAAAACGCAAAGGAACGUACUAACCACAAUCAUCAGGGCCUCGGACGUAAGUUCCGACUCGCCCGACCCCUCAGGGCCUCGGACGUAAGUUCUGACUCGCCCGACCCCUCAGGGCCUCGGACGUAAGCUCCGACUCGCUCGACCCCUCAGGGCCUCGGACGUAAGCUCCGACUCGCCCGACCCCUCAGGGCCUCGGACGUAAGUUCCGACUCGCCCGACCCCUCAGGGCCUCGGACGCCAGUUCCGACUCGCCCGACCCCCUAGGGUCUCGGAUGCAAGCUCCGUUUCGCCCGACCCCGUCUAGGCACGGGCGCCGGACCCCACUCCACCUGGGUAACAAGACUUCCCCCGACAUGACGGACGCGACGGCCCCCAUAACGCGGCAGGGCAAGGCGACGACUGUUUCAACCACCCCGGUCACUGUGGCCUUACCUCUGUCACUAUACACCCCUACCCCUGUUCACUGUAGCACACUACCGCACAGGAGAAAGGGAAUGGGUGAGGCAAAUCAGCACCACUGUUUGUGGUCAUUUCCCACUGUUGACAGGAUAUGCAGCAGUACCGGCGAUCCGACCCCCGCGACCCCUACAGGGUUCGGUAACCCUCUACAGGAGCAGCCAUGCUGUCAACCAUCCCUCAAGAACGAGAUGGACCAGCCUCAACAGGGUCGGGACUGUGUUUUCACCCUUCAAUAAAAGAAAUCUACUCAUGUAAAUACCUGGCCUUCCCUUGGGACUAUAAAAUGGGAGCCAGGGUUCACAACUAAAAAGGGAGGAGACAAGUUCAGAAAAACACACACGCACACAACACUCUUUCACAGAGCAACAGCCCGCACUCUGUCCACACCAAGCCGAGACCUGGGACUAAGCCCUCUCUCGCAACCAGCUUGUACCCCCUACUGCAAGCACCUUUGGGUGCAAGGUUAUACAGAAUCCACCGCCACACUGGACGUAGGGCAUCCUUGGCCCGAACCAGUAUAAACCCUCUGUGUCUCACUUGCAUCACCAUCCAAGCUUGGUCAGUCACGCAGACUUAUACUUGUUAGUGCUUAGACCGCGAGUCUAGAUGCCGACAGUUGGCGCGCCAGGUAGGGGCCUUCUGCGUGACGCUUGCCAGUCCCCACUGGGGAGGUUUGGAUGGCAGGCGGAUUUCACCCGCUCCGUCGCGGCACCAUCAUGAUGUUUGGGAGUUUAGAAUUCAUGUCCCUCGGUUCCGGCUACGACAUGGUCCUCCUCCCGCCACGUAACGACGUCGAGCCUAGCCCCGAGCCGAUCCCACCACGGUCAGUGCGUGGGAGACGUUCGGGACACCAUGCGGGGGGCUCACGGAGGGGGCGUCAGAGAUCCAGGAUCUCCGACCCUACCUCUGAGGCUAGGACCCGUCCGGUCCUCCCCCCGCAUAUUCCUCACCAGGUCGCCCGUUCCUCCGGCCCGACAGGCGCUAGAGGAAGGGCUCGCGGGGCUUCAAACCCCGGUCCCAAGACCAACAGAGGAUCAUCGCGGUCUCCCGUUCCACCCUGGUCAAAGGGGAAGGCACGGCCCGCGCCCGUCCCCCGCAAGGGGGACAAAGGGGCCUCAACGUCCCGUCCUCCUCCGCUUACGGGUGAAGGAGCACCAGCGGCACCUCCUAAGUUACCUUUUGGGCUAAGGAAUGCUGCCGCCACCUACGCCUCUUCCGUGAGCACUUCACUAAGUGCGUACGCGGAACUUCCAGGGCACCACUUGAGGUCUACUCUGGACCUCAUCUCUACGCCGCCCGUUUCGACAUACCCUGAGGAUCCCACCUCGGGCGACGACGAGUGGGCUGACGCUGAUUUCUCCGGAUGUGGCGACCCGGAGACUUUCAUGCGUUUCCUCGAAGCUAGCAACUACUGUUUCGGCUACUCCGACUCCGAUGACGGAAGCUACGACCCGUCGCGAGAGUGCUUCAACUUGGAAGUCGGAGGCACGUCGCAUAACGCCCAGGGAGACGCAGGGCCCUCUAGGCAAGAGAAUGCCACUCCACCUCCCAACCCUACUCCCGGAACCAAUCCCGGAGCCCGUGGGGUAGCAUCUGCCCCCGCUGGGGGACACCACCCUGACCUCGCACAGCUCGAUGAGCUGGAGGCCAGGCUCGAAGAAGAACGCACACGCCUCCGCCAACUCCGCGAGGCCCUGGUCCGAGAGCCGUCCGGCCGCGGAGACGGGGGUGAAGCCAGACGUCGCGCCCGUGAUGUCAACCGUCGCAUUGUCGAGGACCAAGGGGGAGACGCCCCAGUCUUCAGCACGGCCAGCCAGAACGUGAUGGCCGCUGCGCUCCUCCUCAGGGCGAUGCCCAAGCCAUCAACCCCUGAGGGAAGAAGAGUGCGCCAGGGGUUACGUGGCCUCCUGGAGCAGGCUGUGGUGCAGAACGCGGAAAGUUCUGCCUCACAAUCCCAUAGCACAAGACGUCGUGGAGACCGACCCCCUCCGAACAAGGCACCAACAGUACAGGGUCCGCCGCCCCCUGACCCCCAAAGGGGCGACAAGGCCCCGUCGGUACACGAGCGCGUCGGAGCAGGCGCGGACGUACGGGCCACCCUCGAGGCAAGGCGACGUGACAGGGACGAGGCCGAGUCCCGACGUUACCGACCGCGCCGAGGCGGGAGGUACGACCCCGAUCACGACCGAAGCACGUUACCAGAGCCUCCGGGUCCCCGCGUCUUUAGCGAGGCCAUACGCAGGGCCAAGUUCCCGGCGCGAUUCCGACAGCCCGCCAACCUCACCAAGUACUCAGGGGAAACUAACCCUGAGCUCUGGCUGGCGGACUACCGCCUGGCAUGCCAGCUAGGUGGCGCGGAUGACGACCUGCUCAUCAUCCGCAACCUUCCACUCCACCUGGCCGAUACGGCCAGGGCAUGGCUCGAGCACCUCCCUGAACGCAUGAUCCACGACUGGGCUGACCUAGUCAGGAUCUUUGUCGGGAACUUCCAGGGCACAUACGUGCGCCCUGGGAACUCUUGGGACCUCAGGAGCUGCCGGUAGAAGCCUGACGAGUCUCUUCGAGACUUCAUUAGGCGAUUCUCCAAACAAUGCACCGAGCUCCCCAACAUCACGGACUCCGACGUGAUCGGAGCCUUCAUUUCCGGUACCACCUGCAAGGAGUUGGUACACGAGCUCGGACGCAGGACCCCCACAAGCACGAGCCAGCUUCUCGACAUCGCCACCAACUUUGCCUCAGGCAAAGAGGCAGUUGGCGCCAUUUUCUCCGACAGCACAGCCAAGGGGAAACAAAAGGCCGAGGCUACCGAAGCCUCGGGAUCACGCGACCCCAAGAAGAAGAAGAAGGGCCGCAAGGGGCGGCAGGGUCAGUCGGACGACAACCUGGUCGCCGCGGCAGAUCGCAAGAACCCCAAGCGGGCUCCUGCUGGCCCCGGUCUCUUCGACGAAAUGUUGAAGAAGCCAUGCCCCUAUCACAGGGGACCAACCAAGCACACCCUCGAGGAGUGCACCGUCCUCCGUCGGUACUAUACCGACAUCAUCACCAAGGAGAGUGCCGAAGAACCUCCCAAGGACGACGACCCCGAGGGGGAAGUUUUCCCCAAGAUCAAGAACUGCCUUCUGAUCUUUGGGGACGAGCGGCUCGCCUCACUGCGAGUCAGAGGAAGCGCGAACUCCGAGAAGUCUGCGCAGUCAGCACGGCCACGCCCUCGUACCUCAAAUGGUCCGAGAGCACGAUCACGUUCGACAGACAGGAUCACCCGGAUCGGAUCCCCAAUCCCGGGAGCUAUCCUCUGAUCGUCGACCCCAUCAUCGCCGAGACCCGUCUCACUAAGGUGCUGAUGGACGGAGGCAGCGGCCUCAACAUCCUCUAUGCCGAGACUCUGGCCCUCAUGGGGAUCAGCAAGUCUCGGCUAAGGAACGAUACAGCGCCAUUCCAUGGAGUGGUGCCUGGACAUCGCGCCCACCCCCUCGGACAGAUCGAUCUGCCCGUCUGCUUCGGGACCCCCGGUAACUUUAGACGGGAGUUCCUCACUUUCGAUGUGGUCGGGUUCCCAGGAACCUACCACGCGAUCCUGGGGCGACCAUGCUACGCCAAGUUCAUAGCCGUCCCCAACUACACCUAUCUCAAACUCAAGAUGCCACGACCAAAGGGCAUCAUCACCGUCAGCACGACCAGUCAGCAUGCCUACCAAUGCGACGUCGAGUGCGUCGAGCAGGCUGAGGCUCUGGCAGAGUCUCUGGCCAUUCUUACCGGCCUCGGUGACUGCGACCAGGACGUCCCCGACCCCAAGCGUCAUGCCGGGAGCUUCGAGCCGGCAGAGGAGACCAAGCUGGUUUUCCUCAACCCCGGGACCUCUGAAGGCAAGGCGUUGAGGAUUAGCUCCAGCCUCGACCCCAAAUAGAAAGUGGUGCUCGUCGACUUUCUCCGCGCAAACGCCGAUAUAUUUGCGUGGAGUCCCUCGGACAUGCCUGGCAUACCGAGGGAGGUCGCCGAGCACUCCUUGGACAUCCGAGCCGGCUCCAAACCCGUAAAGCAACGCCUGCGCCGAUUCGACGAGGAGAAGCGCCGGGCCAUCGGGGAGGAGAUCCACAAGCUGCUGGCGGCCGGAUUCAUCAAGGAGGUAUUCCAUCCCGAGUGGUUAGCCAACCCCGUGCUAGUUAAAAAGAAAAAUGGGAAGUGGAGGAUGUGUGUAGACUACACUGGUUUAAAUAAAGCAUGUCCAAAGAAUCCUUUUCCUUUGCCUCGCAUUGAUCAGAUAGUUGACUCCACCGCGGGAUGUGAAAUUUUGUCUUUCCUUGAUGCUUACUCCGGCUACCACCAAAUCAAGAUGAAAGAGUCCGACCAGCUCGCGACUUCGUUCAUCACCCCUUUCGGAAUGUAUUGUUACGUAACCAUGCCGUUCGGCGUCAAAAACGCGGGAGCUACAUAUCAAAGAUGUAUGCUCCAGGUUUUUGGGAACCUUAUAGGCAAAACGGUAGAGGCUUACGUAGACGACAUCGUCGUCAAGUCCAGGAAAGCGAGCGGCCUGGUCGCCGACCUGGAAGAAACAUUCCGAUACCUUAGGGCGAAAGGGAUCAGACUCAACCCCGAAAAGUGCGUUUUUGGGGUCCCCCGAGGCAUGCUCCUUGGAUUUAUUGUGUCUGAGCGGGGGAUCGAGGCCAACCCAGAAAAGGUCUCAGCCAUCGCAAAUAUGGGCCCCAUUCGUAGCCUAAAGGGAGUACAGAGGGUAAUGAGAUGUCUAGCUUCCCUAAGCCGUUUCAUUUCUCGCCUCGGGGAAAAAGGGCUACCUCUGUAUAGGUUACUUAGGAAAUCCGAGCACUUUUCCUAGACCCCCGAGGCCCAGGAAGCCCUUGACAAGCUCAAGGCUCUGCUCACCAACCCUCCCAUCCUGGUGCCCCCCGCCGAGGGGGAGCCACUUCUUCUCUACGUCGCAGCCACUGAUCAAGUGGCCAGCGCAACAAUCGUGGUCGAGAGGAAGGAAGAAGGGCAUGCCCUGCCAGUCCAAAGGCCGGUGUACUUCAUCAGUGAAGUGCUCUCCGACACAAAGACCCGAUACCCCCAGAUUCAAAAACUGCUCUACGCAGUGGUGUUGGCCCGACGCAAGCUCCGCCAUUACUUCGAAUCUCACCCGAUCUCAGUGGUCUCAUCUUUCCCUCUGGGAGAAGUGAUUCAGAACUGAGAGGCCAACGGAAGGAUUGCUAAAUGGGCCAUAGAGCUCAUGGGCGAUGGAAUCACUUAUGAGCCUCGAAAGGCCAUAAAGUCCCAAGUACUGGCGGAUUUCGUGGCAGAAUGGAUCGGGACUCAGCUCCCACCACCUCAAAUCCAGCACGAGUGCUGGACUAUGUACUUCAACGGGUCUUUGAUGAAAACCGGGGCCGGUGCGGGCCUCGUCUUCAUCUCACCCCUCGAGGUAAGGAUGCGAUACGCGAUCCGACUCCAUUUCCCUGCUUCAAACAAUGCAGCAGAGUACGAGGCCCUGGUUAACGGUCUCCACAUCACGAUCGACCUUGGGAUCAAACGGCUCGACGCCCGAGGCGAUUCCAGACUCAUCAUCGAUCAAGUCAUGAAAGAGUCUAGCUGCCACGACCCCAAGAUGGACGCGUACUGCAAAGCGGUCCGACGCCUGGAAGAAAAGUUCGACGGCCUCGAACUUAACCACGUGUUAAGAAAGUAUAAUGAGGCCGCCGACACGCUCGCCAAAAUGGCAUCCGAGCGGGCCACGGUCCCCCCGGAUGUUUUCGUCAGCGACCUCUACAAACCCUCCAUCAACUGCAGGGACGACGUGGGGUCGGAUAAACCCCCAAGCGAACAAAGUUCCGACCCCAAAGAUACCGCCGCCCCAGAGCAGGGUGUCAUGGACAUCGAGCCAGAACCACCUGCGCCUGACGACUCGCCCGACUGGCGCUACCCUUUACUUCAACGCCUGGUCGACGACACUUUGCCCAUGGACCAGGCUGAAGCAAGGCGUGUGGCACGUCGUGCUAAGACCUUUGUCCUCCUCGAUGGGGAGAUGUACAAGCGAAGCCCCUCGGGCGUCCUCAUGCGGUGCAUCCCGCGUCAAGAGGGGGUCAAGAUCUUACAAGACAUUCACUCGGGGGCUUGUGGCCAUCACGCCGCGCCUCGGACGCUGGUAGGAAAUGCCUUCCGACAAGGCUUCUACUGGCCCACCGCCGUAGCCGACGCCACAGAGAUCGUCAGGACCUGUAAGGGAUGCCAGUUCUACGCUCGGCAAACACAUCUACCCGCUCAGGCCCUGCAAACGAUCCCCAUCACCUGGCCUUUCGCUGUCUGGGGCCUCGACCUGGUCGGGCCUCUGCAGAAAGCGCCUGGGGGCUUCACCCACUUGCUUGUCGCAAUCGACAAGUUCUCUAAGUGGAUCGAAGUCCGACCCAUUACAAGGAUCAAGGCCGAGCAAGCCGUGUUGUUCUUCACAGACAUCAUCCAUCGAUUUGGAGUACCGAACUCCAUAAUCACCGACAACGGCACACAGUUCACCGGGCGAAAGUUCUUGCAGUUCUGCGACAGACACCACAUACGUGUGGACUGGGCGGCGGUGGCUCACCCCAAGACCAACGGUCAGGUGGAGCGUGCCAACGGCAUGAUCCUCCAGGGUUUGAAGCCCAGGAUUUUCAACCGACUGAACAAGUUUGGAAAAAGGUGGCUCAAGGAGCUACCAGCCGUGCUCUGGAGCCUGAGAACCUCCCGAAGCCGAGCCACAGGCUUCACCCCGUUCUUCAUGAUCUACGGGUCGGAAGCCAUCCUCCCCACUGAUCUAGAGUACGGGUCCCCGAGAGUGCAAGCCUACGACGAAAAUAGCGGCAAGACGUUCCAAGAAGACGUGUUGGACCAGCUGGAUGAAGCCAGGGACGUAGCCCUCCUACACUCCGCCAAAUACCAGCAGGCCCUCCGCCGAUACCACGCACGACGAAUCCGAGGCCGAGCCUUUCAAGUCGGCGACUUGGUGCUGAGGCUCAGACAGAGCAACAAGGGUCGUCACAAGCUCACACCCCCCUGGGAAGGACCUUUCGUCAUCGCCGAGGUUCUCCGACCAGGCACCUACAAGCUCGCCAAUGAAGCAGGGGAGGUCUUCAAAAACGCAUGGAACAUAGAAUAGCUACGUCGCUUUUUCCCUUAGAGCCUUGUAAAAGUUUCUUUGUUCAUCCAUUGCCUCCAAGGAAUAAAUCAAAGUUUAAAUUAUCAGAGAGCCUCGGACCUGCCGAGCAGAGUCCGAACCUCCCUCGGGGGCUACAUGGGGGGAACCCCCUAUGUCGACUCCGAAUCUUUUUCUUUUUUCGCACAAGUUAAAAAAAAAACCCCGACCCAAGGUCUUCCUCCUCCUUCCUAAAAAGACUCAAGAAACCGAAAAUCCGUCCCCUAAAUCUUAAGGCAUGAGCCCGAGGAAGGAUCUGCGCUCACGAGCAAAGACCGCCUCAACUCACCUUAGAUUCGGGAACGAAUUCGGGCUUCCAAGAGUUACUAAGGAAAAAGGAAAAGAACUUAGGCUUGGGGACUCCGGCCUGCGCGAUAACUCUAAGUAGCUCACCCGACCCCGCGCUGCCGAGGUCGGAUCGUUAUAAAGAGAAAGGAAAUAAGAUACUUAGGGAAAAUGCUCAAAAAGAGCAGUUAUAUUUACAUUCAACAUUAACAUUAUAUAUAUAUAUGUUACAAGGCCCACCAGCCUCAACACCCACAAAAAGAAAAGAAACCUAAGGGUCCUGCUGCCCUGUCUACUCAGGUCCUAGAGCCCCAAGGGGCGGAAGCUCCACCUCGUCGUCGAAGAAGGUGGCCAAGGCAUCUCCGGGGACAGCCACGGCGUCUUCAAGCCUCUGCACCUCCUCCUGGGCCUCAGCCUCAUCAUCCGGGAGGACGUAGCCCUCACAAACUGCCGGCAAAUCAAUACCGGCAUAGUGAGAGCUCACCACCGCCAGGGCUUUCUUCACCCCGGCGUGGAGUGCCUCCUUCAUCCUCUCCCCGGCCCGGGAGUAAAGGGCUUCGACCCGACUCCGCAGCGACGACCCCGACGCUGAUACCCCGAGCCCCCCACACGCCGAGGUGACCACGACUUCAAGAGCCGAGCGGUCUGAAGCCUCGGCGGCAGAGGCCGCCUCGACCACCUUCCUCUCCAAAUCUGAUCGAAAAAACAGAACAAGAAACAGGAAGUCAGGAAAAGCUAACUCAAAAAGUAUAAAGGAGUCCAGGGUAAAGGGCGCAAGUCUUACCCUCGGCACGCUUCUCGUGCUCCGCCGAGCUCUGAUGCCAGCGGGCCACCUCGCUCAGAGCCCCGGACAGGUCGGUCUGAGCUUGGUUCAAGGCAAGGUCUUUCUCGGCGAGCAAAGCUUCAAGCCGAGCGACCUCACCCCUGUACCCCUCAGCCGCCGCCUUUUGCGCCUCGGUUUCCAAGGCGAGGACCCCAAUCUUCUCCUCCAGGGGGGCGACCUUGUCCCGGCCCUCCCGAGCCUCGGUGGCCAGUACCGAGCACUUCUGCCGAAGCUCGGCAGAAAUCUCGCACUCCUUCGCGAGCUCCCCCUCGGCCGCCUCUCUGGCAGCCCUCUUCUUCUCAAAGGACGCCCAAGCAUCCUUCUCCCGACGGAGAAAUACCGAUUUCUCCUGGGAGGUGGCCUUGAGCGCCUGCAAGAUCACAGGUCACAAGGGGUUAGUACCGCAAAGGUAAGCACAAAACUACUUUAUAACACGGAUAAAAAUCCUACCUGAGCCAAAUUAAACAUGUCGCGACCCACGAGCUGGGUAGCUCGGUUAAGGGCCUCGACCCCGGCGCGUCCACACGCAUCCAGACCCUGCCAGAGGUAAUUCUCUGACGGAUCAUCCAGGACAAAUCUGGCUCCCCCCUCGGCAUCGCCGAGGUUGGGCCAGAUUACGGGGCUCUUGCCCCAUCCGGUUUCCACCUCCCUCCCCGCCGCGGGGGCCUCGGGCGCCACGCUGGACACCACUAUGGCUCGCCCCUCCUCAGCGCACGCAGGACGGGCCGCGCCUCCGAGGUCAGCGUCCUCCGGAGCUUGGGGCUUCGGUGCCCCCGUGUCUUGUCCCGGGUGGCGCCCUGCCUCCUCGUAGCCUGGAGGCGGCGGAGACACGGGCCUAGCCGACCUGGGAGUUGACUGAGCCCCCCUCUUCACAGCUUUCAGGGGGGCCAGCGCCACCGAAGGCGCCUUUUGCUUACGGCUGGGGAAACAACACCAAGUUAGAAGAAAGAGAAAAACAAAAAAACCAGCAGAGGAACCAGAAAUCCUAUACAUACCUCGCUCGGGGAGCAGACUUCUUCUGGGAGCUCGGAGCUCCUAGGGGGCCUCCCGCGGCGCCAGGGGCCGCCGGUCCGACCCCUGCCUCGCCUGCCGACGGCGCAGGAGACACCACGGCGGUCUCAGCCUGCGACGCCUCCACCAGGGCACCAGUUCCCGCCUCGGACGCUGGGGCGGGCUCGGCCGGAGCCUCCGGCACUACCGGUUGAGGUAGCGCCUCGGAUCCGGCCUCCGAUGCCUUCCCCCCUUCUUGAGGACCCACCGGGGCUGAACCCUCACGAGGGGCGCUGUCCUCAUCAUCCACAAUAAUGUGGGGGGCGGCCUGUCCGCCCCCCGGCGCUUGGGCCACCUGGGGGGCCUCCGACCCCUCUCGGAUCUCCGACCCCCCUCGGGCCUCCGACCCCCCUCGGGUCUUCGACCCCUCCGGGGCCUCGAUUCCCCCGCCGGCCGGAGGGAUAACGUCGUCCUCCUCCAUUAGCUCGUCAAGCCAGUCGACGUCGCUGCCCCCGCCCUCUAUCUCCGAGACCGAAGUCUCGGGAGAGGGGGGCGGGGCGACCCCUGCCUUCUCAGCUUCACGAUGAUUUUUGGCGGAGAUCUCCCGCCGCUGCGCUUUCCGCGCCGCCUUGGCCUUCUUGUCCUCCUUGGCCUUCUUCUGCUCCUCGUUCCGGGCCCGAUUCUUGGCCCGGAUCUCCUUGUCCUCUGGGACAGGGGGCAGGGAGUCCUUGACGACCCCCAUCCUCUGCGAACGAUCAGGAGUCAAAGAAAAGGCAAGAAGGAAAUGAAAAGAAGGCGCAAAAAAUCCAUACUCACCAGGGAAAUGUAACCCUUUUCAGGGCGCAUCGGCACCACCCGAGAAUUCUUCAUCUCUGGGUGCGUCGUCUUCUCGACCCGGGCGGCGAUGUCCGAGGCCGAUAGCGGCUCGGCCAACAUCCUCCUCCCUGCCCAGGGGACCCCCCGGGUCAUCUCGAACAUGGGCACUCGCCGCUGUGCCAGCGGAACCAAACUCCUCUUGUGGAAGGCAGUCGCCACCGUGGCCGCGGUGACUUCGGCAUCUCGCAACUUCUGAAGCCCCGCGAGAAGUGGGGCGAGCCUCUUCUGCUCCUCGGUCGGAGCGCCCCACGCCCACUUCAUGGGAACCUCCGUCACCAUCUUCCCGGUGAACUUCGGGAGCAGGCCACCGUCGUUCCGGAGGUAGAACCACCCGCUCUGCCACCCCCGGUUCGAUGAAGGCAUCGAGCUCCAUAUGUACAGCCCGGCCCGCUGCUGACGAAGCUGCAGUGUGCAGCCGCCGGCCCGCAGGGGGAAUUUCUCCUUCCCCACGUAACGAGCCGACAUCUCCGCCUUGAAGAGGUGGAGCCAGAGAUUCCAAUUGACCGGAACCCCCAGGAACCCCUCGCAGACCGUGGUGAAGACGGCAGCCUGCAUAACCGAGUUCGGGUUCAGGUUAUGUAACUCCACCUCGUAGUGGUGGAGGAUGGCCCUGAUCAGGCGGCCGGUCGGAACUCCGAACCCUCGGUCUAGGAACGACAGGAAGCACACCACAUAGCCCGGCGGCGGGUUUGGCUCCCUGUCGUUCGCCGAGGGAACGAUCCACUCCGGAAACCCGACGUCCUUGAGAGGACGGAGAAUCCCGGCCUUCACGCGCGCCUCCAGCGCGGACUUGGUCACAUUGCUGGGUGGCCACGCCUCGACACCAGCCAUGGCUCCGCGAGGAAGAGGAGAGUCUGCGCGAUGAAGGUGGAAGAGACGGUAGUAGGAGAAGGGGCAGAAGGCAAAGGCUUGAUGGCGCAGGAGCGAGAGGAGAGAAAUCGAGCCCCCAGCAGCCGCUUUUAUAGGAGGGGCGAGCCACGACCACGCCCCUACGAAGAAGGCCAAGCGGGGAGAGAGCAACCGUCGCCCGCUCAGGUGAAAAACUCGAAGCGCCAACUCCCUCCGAUUCCCGCGCCCACCGCACGCGCGCAUUAAAUUCACAGGCGAAACGUCCCGUCCAAACCGGGGCGACGCGGCACAGCCGUUUCGAGUCCCCACGCGCCGCACCUCAAAAGGAGCACCCUAAAAAGUUAUGUCAGGGCGGUUCCUUCCAAGGGACGCGGCGCCCGACCCCCCGCUGACCAAGCGUCGCAUGGAGGUCUCAGUCGGGCGUCAGAUUCCGUCUCGCCCGACCCCGACGCGAAAGAAUGAGUCUAAAGAAAGCCUUCCAAGGCCCAAAAUCCCCAGGCCAUGGCCACCUACGUUCCAGAGGUUGCGAGACUGACCUACGACACAGGUUCAAACAGUCGCCUCAGGAUAACUGAGUGAGGGAUGACUGGAGAUGAGCACAAUAGAGGCCAAGGUCCGAACCCUACAGGGAGUCGGCGCAUCUUUGCAAGUCAUAUCCGAGACCCAUGCGGGUGUCACGAGAGUGGGAUCCCAUCGAGGGAGGCAUCGAGCCCUCGGGACCUAACGAACGGUUCCGACAUCCACCGUGACUGCCCUCGGGUACUUUUUGAGAUGUGCCCAUAAGGCCACUAGCCGACCCCUAUCGAACGGGACUCGGACAUUCACUCGGAUCUACCCGCCUGCAGCUCCCGGGAAGUGUCGUCACUCGCCCACCGAGGGUAGUACGGCAUGACCCACCCCUCCUCCGAGCGAAAGGAAGAAUGAGGGACGAAAUUACAAGACGAGAAAGAACCUGAUCGACCCUUGCGGGGAAAGGGCUCGGGGGCUUUCUCGCACCACAGGAACAGGCACUACGUGUAAAGAACACGCAACCUUUUCCUUGAAACACCCCAGACUAAAGAUGUCAAGGGGUGAAAGCCUUUGAAGGAACAACCUCAUUCCUCAAAAAGGCUCGGGGGCUACACCCGGCGGGUGCGCUUGCGCGCACCCCCCCGGAAAAAAGUGAAAGGCUCCGAGUCGACUACAGUUCGUGGGAAGAGAACCUCUAAAGAGGUGACCUCACCCCUUUAGAGGCUCGGGGGCUACUGUUGGGUACCAUAAUAAGGGAUACCCAAAUCAGAGCAAUAAAAAACGCAAAGGAACGUACUAACCACAAUCAUCAGGGCCUCGGACGCAAGAUCCGACUCGCCCGACCCCUCAGGGCCUCGGACGUAAGUUCCGACUCGCCCGACCCCUCAGGGCCUCGGACGUAAGUUCCGACUCGCCCGACCCCUCAGGGCCUCGGACGUAAGCUCCGACUCGCUCGACCCCUCAGGGCCUCGGACGUAAGCUCCGACUCGCCCGACCCCUCAGGGCCUCAGACGUAAGUUCCGACUCGCCCGACCCCUCAGGGCCUCGGACGCCAGUUCCGACUCGCCCGACCCCCCAGGGUCUCGGAUGCAAGCUCCGUUUCGCCCGACCCCGUCCAGGCACGGGCGCCGGACCCCACUCCACCUGGGUAACAAGACUUCCCCCGACAUGACGGACGCGACGGCCCCCAUAACGCGGCAGGGCAAGGCGACGACUCUUUCAACCACCCCGGUCACUGUGGCCUUACCUCUGUCACUAUACACCCCUACCCCUGUUCACUGUAGCACACUACCGCACAGGAGAAAGGGAAUGGGUGAGGCAAAUCAGCACCACUGUUUGUGGUCAUUUCCCACUGUUGACAGGAUAUGCAGCAGUACGGCGAUCCGACCCCCGCGACCCCUACAGGGUUCGGUAACCCUCUACAGGAGCAGCCAUGCUGUCAACCAUCCCUCAAGGACGAGAUGGACCAGCCUCAACAGGGUUGGGACUGUGUUUUCACCCUUCAAUAAAAGAAAUCUACUCAUGUAAAUACCUGGCCUUCCCUUGGGACUAUAAAAGGGGAGCCAGGGUUCACAACUAAAAAGGGAGGAGACAAGUUCAGAAAAACACACACGCACACAACACUCUUUCACAGAGCAACAGCCCGCACUCUGUCCACACCAAGCCGAGACCUGGGACUUAGCCCUCUCUCGCAACCAGCUUGUACCCCCUACUGCAAGCACCUUUGGGUGCAAGGUUAUACAGAAUCCACCGCCACACUGGACGUAGGGCAUCCUUGGCCCGAACCAGUAUAAACUCUCUGUGUCUCACUUGCAUCACCAUCCAAGCUUGGUCAGUCACGCAGACUUAUACUUGUUAGUGCUUAGACCGCGAGUCUAGACGCCGACACAUGACGAGCACAUAGACCGUGUACUCAAGGUUUAAUUUAGUACCGGACGCAGGGACCUGCUUGUCCAGUCACUAUCUGGGAUCAUCGGAAUGUUCUCCGGUCAGUGUGACGUGGCGCGAGUGUGCUAGCAGUGAUGGAUCAAACACUGGGCCGAGUCCUGUCACUAGUCAUCGAACGCGUCUGGUGGAGGAAAUCGCGUUUUGGAAACUCUUUGAGUAGUGAUCAAACGUUGGGUAUCUGUGUCAAGUCAUCUUCUGAUGUGAGUCUGGUGAGAACUUAGUCAUUGGGAUCUAACGUGCGAUGUUGAAAAUAUAGUGACACGUGGAGAGAAUUUGAGCACCAGACGUUGGGGCCUGCAUCUGGUCGACCUGACCAUAGAAUCUGGUCGCCCUGUUUUCUAUGAGAACAAAGAGCCAAUGACUUUAGGAGGCUUAUAAAUAAUGUUUGGCGGGCGUGGGCUCAUUCUAUUGGCACCUUUAACAUAUUUGAUAUCCUUGUGAGCCUAAGCAAAGUUAUUCUACUCAUCUCCUUCGUAGACUCUUGAUUUUUGUAAGAUAUGAGUGAUUUCAUAUGCAUUUGCUUGAGUGAUUGCAUCUAGUGACACUUGGGGAUCUUUGUGGCUACGAUGUUCUUGUUACUCUCGGUGGUUGUCGCCACCUAGACGGCUUGGAGUAGCGGAGGAGAAUUGACAUGAGUUGGUGAUUGUUCGUGGUCAUCUCUCAGUGAUUAUGAGGGGUUCUUGUGCCUUUUCCGACGGAGCGUCAAAGACAACUCUAGUGAAUUAUGUAUGGCAUUGAGCUACCUUACUUGUGGGUAGAUUCUUGCAAUGUCCUACAUGAUGACGACGUUUGUGCUACACCUCUUUGUCGCUGAACAACUAGGUAUUGGUAGACACAACGCGGACUAGCGUGCCGACAAGCACGUGAACCUCAGGAGAAAAAUCAUGUCUUAAUUAUGAUUUAUUGGCAUUCUUUCGGUGAUUAAUAUUAUCUUGCUACUUAAUUAUGUUCUUAGUUUGCUUUAAUUAUAUAUUUGAUAUAGUUAUAAUUGAUGAUGAUUAUAUGCAUAUGUUCGUAUAGCGCUUAAUCGAGUGCUCGAGUGGGUUAAGUGGUGCGUAUUAUGUAUGUCGAGGGUAUCGGUAAGGGGUACCCUCAGCGAUGCGCAUUAUGAGAUUGCCCGUACGAAGGUCGAGACCCUUAAUUCGACGCUCUAAUCUUACGUAUGCGCCGCCAUCGACGGUCGCAGCCUCGAAGACGGAAAUAGCGUCGAGCGAAUCGGUUCAGGACUCGAGCGACGACUGCCGUCGAUGACGGAAGCGGGCUCGAGCGAACCGAGAGGCGUCGGGCGCAAGGACACUGUCCGCCGCCCGACGCGCGCACGCGGGCCGGAGCAUUAAAUGCACCUGACGCUUCCCCACCUAACACACAGGUCACGGAAGGCGUGAUAGGGAACAAGCUUCUGUCCCAUCGUUCUUUUUGCAGCCUUCCCACCGAACGACCCAGGGCGUGUCAGGACGCAGGAAACAAGGAUGGAACGUCUAAUCGGGACCCCCUCGAGACACCCAAGGUCAGCGCUCCAAAUACCAGCAUAUUACACGGCGUCCGACCCUCGACCAAACAGGGUCCCUUCCUAGGGACAAGUUGGGCGUCGACUGACUACACCACAGCUACCCCGUCGGGUCCGCCACCAUACCGUACAAGCAUGCGACCUCAGAACCAGCACAAGGCGGCAGGCAGGGCAGAACACAGGAGCACGCGUAAUCAUCACCGAGCUAUCAAGAUGGGACGGCUCGAGGCCAUGCCGUACGGAAGCCUCGAGUAGGUCAGCGCUCCAUGCGGCUAUCGAUCCCUACUCUAACAUCUACGCAUGUACCCUGUGUCUCUCCUUGGAGCUAUAAAAGGAGAGACUCAGGAAUAGAAGAAGGGGACAUCACAACACAAGAACACACACACACAUAGUAGAGCUACACACUUCAUACCACGCUUGUAUUCGCCCCUGUACAAGCACUUAGGUGCAAGAUAAUACAAACUCUCUCCCCCCGCUGGACGUAGGGCCUUCUCUUGCCCGAACCAGGAUAAAUCUUCGUGUCUUCUUGCAUCACCAUCCGGAAAGGGGAGCACGCAUACAAAUUUACUCGUUGGUGUGACCCCCCGGGGGAAAAACACCGACAAUGUAAGUGUGGUGUUUAGAUAUUAUUUACCUGCGGAUGCACUCUAUAUGUCGGGCCACGUGGUAGAUCACGGGUGUGAUAGGCCUGUUGAGUCCUCUGUAGUCCAUUUCCCAUAUGUAAAACAAGUAGAACCUGGUCGCAAAGGAAGAGAGGACUCUUUUUCCAAUCCUCCCAAGUUGAUGUUCCCUAUGCUAUACUCAGAGUUGGUUAUGUUGUAAGUGAAAUUAUAUAAUCUAGAGUGUGCAUAAGACUUAGUAUUUAGGAAUAACUUAGAAAUCUUUCACUCUAACCGAAUCUAGAGCUUAGCCUUACUACAUUAGUUCAGUCUCUACUUUGUAUCUCUACAGUACUAUUAUUAUGUUGCAUUUAUCAUAUUUAUCUUUUACUUGACUCACCCCUGCUAAAGCAUAGGAGUGGUUGGUUUAUCAUGGGUUUGCACAUUUAUAAUUUAUGUCAUAAACAUGGUCUCACGACCCUUCCUUUGGGAUAAAAAUAAAUAAAGGAUACUCUCCCGAGUGAAAAUGCUACAGUGGUGAUUUAUCUGUGCGCUUGCGGAUAUUUAUUGAUAUAUAUUAUUUAGAGUUUUGAAGUGUAGUUCUUAUUACCAAUAUUUCUAAUAUCAUACUAGAGAUGAUAACUUAGUAUAUAGUGAUGUUCAGAAAUGUCAACACACAGGCAUAAUUUCCUAGGUGAGGCUAAAUAAAGCUGAAAAUACUAGUUUCUCCUAGCGCACUCUCUCUCUCUCUCUCUCUCUCUCUCUCUUUGCUAUCUUCACUAAAAAAGUGUUUUGUCAAACAUUUUUUUUAAACUGCUUUAGCUUCGCUGUUGAAGGUAUUUUAUGAAUGGUAGGGUGAGCAGCGAUAUCGCAUGGCAUAUAUCGAGGUGGGAGGGAUGGAACCAUAUAUAGUCACAUAAAAGAGGCUCGCCAUCUUUAACCUUUGAUCCGUAUUCAUCGACCUCGAUCUAGGUUUACGGGUUUAUUUUCGAUAUAAAAUGUAAAAAUCUUUCGCAAGUAGUAUAUUAUGUUCCGCGACAUCCAUUGACCUAAAAACUUUGUGACUAUGGAUAUGGAACGACGACGAGGCUGAGAUCUAGAGAGGGGAGCGAGAGGGUAGUCCGGCCAGCCGGGAUACUAGUUACGUUGCCGGAAGGGGGAGAAGGGAUGGAUGUUCAUAGCAUCGCAUGUGUCUAGUCGUAGCUUAUUUCCUGCUGCGCUGCACGUCUCUGCGCAUGCACUAUCGAUAUCACUGACGACCGUACGUGCAUAGAUCGCAAAUUCAUACUGUAUAUGGAAUAACGGGCGAUCGAUCGAGUCACCGGCGAAUCUUUCCGCACAUACAUGAAGCAUUAAAUAUAGACAAAAAUAAAAACUAAUUGCACAGUUUAUCUAUAAAUCACGAGAUAUAUCUUUUCAUCCUAGUUAGUCCAUAAUUGGACAAUAUUUUAACACAAACAAACAAAAAUGCUACCGUAUCGAAAUCCAAAACCUUUUCGCAUCUAAACAAAUCCUCAUGCUGUAUAUAUAUGGAACAACGGGCGAUCGAUCGAGUCACCGGCGGCGUGGCGUACGUACUAUACGUAUGGAUCGAUCGUGAUGGGGUGGAGAGACGUGAAGUGGAGGGGCCCUCCAUGCAUGUGUCAUGCACGCCGGGCGGCCGGCCGCGCAAGCCAACAAAACCCUAGGGUUCACGGGCUGCGCAUACCUACAAAAUAAACGUCCGCGUCGCCUCGCCUUUCCAGAUGAAUGAAUGAUCAUCAUCUGAUGACCAGCAGCCAGAGCCAGCUAGCCUGGCGAUCCAUAUCGUCCAUGGAAUUUGCUAGCACUAGUAGCUGGUUUCUCCGAUCCUGACCAAACUACGACGACGAUCCAUGACACUGACACGUACCCAGCCAUGCAUGCAUCCCAGUCGUCGGCAAACCAUGGGCGUGCCACUACGGCCAUAUAUAUAGAUGGCAUGUUAUUCUACCACCGUACGACCUACCGUUCCUUCUUCAUCUCGCAAAUGCAGCAAAAAGAAGAAAAAAAAAGAGUUAGUAAACGACGAUCAAGAAAUAAAUUGGCCUUCCCGUUCCGGGCCUGUUCUCGUUUAUCUCCAAUCCAAGUGAAUUGGAUUUUGAAUCAAAUCCCUUUCAAUCGAUACCCUACUUACAAUCCAUAUGGAUGGGUAUGUUGGAGGGGAUUGAAAGAGAUCACGAGGGAUUUUAACUUGCUAUACAAAUUUAAAGCACCACCUCAAUCCCCUCUAAUCCUCUUGGAAUCAUUUGCAACCGAACAAGACCUUAAAAAGAGGAUGUGAACUUUUAACUACAAGACUGAUCGACCAUAUUCCGCCCAUCUCAUUUGUCUAACAUACCAGGCCGACCCGCAGUCGAUCGUCAACAUGGGUAUCAUGCAUGCAUGCAGGAUCGAUGCAGUGCAGCCAACUUUGAUGUAUAUUAGAAACAAGAACGCGUACCCUCCUGUACCUGCUGCAAGUCUCUAAUAACUUUUAGCUACGUCGAUUCACAUUCACUGUAUGUAGGCAAGUUACCAAAUCGUUAAUUUAUUAUAGUAUUCAACCACCCCCACAAAAAAAUCAAUCUGUAUAUACUCCCUCCGGCCCGAGUAGUAUGGUUAUUAUAUAUGCAAGGCUGUUCCGCACCGAUGCGAAGAAAGAUCUUUGACACUUGCUCCCUCCGGCCCUAAAACAUAGUGUAUUGUAACUUUUAAAAUUAUAUAAUAAUUGUCUAAAAUUUUAACUUUGAUAUGUUAUUUAAGUGUUUCUUAAGUUGUCUUAGAACGCGAGGAUAGAGCGAGUAAUUUAGUGGAAAUAUAUAUAUAUAUAUAUAUAUAACUAAAUAAUUUAAAGCACCACCUCAAUCCCUAUAUAUAAAUUUCAUAGAGGAUUUAAUGAAACUGAUUUUAGAUUACUUUGUACUCCCUCAAUUCCAAAACAAUUAAUAUUCUCGUUUCCUAAAUGAGUCAAAAACAUUAUUUUUGAUUAAAUAUAUAUAAGAAAAUAUCAAUAUUUAUAGUAUAUAAUUAUUAUCAUUAGAUAUUGCUAAAGCUAUUUCAUAUAAACUUUAACAAAAUUAUAACCAAAAUGGGUAUUACAGUGAUACUUAUUUUAAGACUGAGGGAGUAGAGUACAUUAUUUUUAUGGGCUCAGAAGAUCUGACAAAAAAACUAACUAAACACGUUUUAGAGCUGAGUAGUAGUAUUUUGCUAGAUGACAGCAUGCAUUCUAAAUUAUCUAUCUGCUACAAAGUAGGGGCCACGUACGGCCCCUGCGUGCCAUCUCAGCGGCACACCGCACAUCGAGGUUCAUGCAUGCACGUGUCGACAUACACGUUGGCUCGGUCUCGAUCUCGGUGGCAUGCAUGGCAAAUGACACACUAUUAUAUUCAUUCGCGCGCGCGACAUGCACCCAUCUGCAUUGCAUGCAAGGCCAAGCAGCAGCUUGCGUCGAUCUGUAUGCGAGAGUGUAUGCGUGCUGAUAGAGAUAUGAUGCAUCGAUCGAUCGCGAUAUCGAUCUACUGUUGUAUUGCAUGCGCAGUUGUUGUUACGUGUUGCAUCGAUCGCGACCAGAUGUAUUCUUAUAUUCAUUUAAUUUAUUACAUACCCUGCAUGCAUGCAUCAUGUGAUUUGUGAACAUAACACAUGCACAUGGAUUGGUAGUGUAUUUUUUACUGUAGAUGAAAUAAACAAGGCCUAGUAUUGCAUUUGUUAAGAUUGAUGAAAUCAUAUAGCUAGCUAGGGACCUAGGGUUAUGAGUUAAUUAUUUGUGCAGGGACAAAACAUCUAGUGUCUGGUCGUGCUGCAUAGUGCCUACGUACGACGAGGACGAAUCUUGCUCGAUCAUUCAUUCAUUCAUCGCAGGUAAUUCUCAGGUAUACACAUCAGGCCUACUACUAACAUUCAAUUCAUUCGAUCAUCCAUGCAUGAGAUUACACAGAUGAUUAGCACACUUUAAUAAUGGUAUUUAUAUUCAUAGAUGGAGACCAUCGUCGUGUCGGGUCCUGCCAGCUAGGCCUCUUUGACACGAUCGAUCAUACAUCCAUCGAUGAUCGAUCCAACACAAACACAGGAAGACGCGCGCGAUGAACAUAUAUAUGCUGCAUGCAUGCAUGCAUGCGCAUGACGAUGAUAGCAGAUUCGUGAAGAAACACACCCAAAACAAAGCAAAGCAAAACAAAAUGAAAGCGAUGAACGAAGAGCGAUGUGUACUAGUAGCUUAGCUUGUACUUGUUGCUGAGACCUGAGAAAUCAUAUAAUUAUUAUUUAGCCCGGCCGGCCUGGUGCAGGCGGGCGUGUGCAUAUAUAUCCAUGGAUCGGGAAACGACGACGAUGGAGAGACGACGAGAGGCAGGCAUGCAUGCAUGCAUGCAUGGCGACGAUGAGAUGAGAUAGAUCAGGAGGAGCACUGGAAUCCCGAGGGGACGCGCCUGCCGCAGUAGUUGACGAGGAGGCUGAGGUUGAUGGGGAGGUUGAGGUUGAUGCCCAGGAUGUUGGCUCGCAGCGCGGUGCAGAGACACACCGCCGCCUCAAGGUCCGCCAGCCCCUGGAUCAGCGUGCAGCACGGCGUCCUCGGCGGUGUCCCCAGGUUCACGUUGAUCAGCCCGUUCAGCACGUUGGCGCACACGCCCAACUUCAGCGUGUCCACAGGGCAACGACCGCGCGUCCCGCCGCCGCCGCCGCCGCCGCCGCCGCCUCCUCCGCCGCUCCCUCCUCCACCACUGCCGCCCCCACCGCUCCCUCCGCCGCCUCCGCUCCCACCACCACCAGAUCCUCCGCCUCCCCCGCCUCCACCUCCCCCGCCACCACCGCCUGGUGGACUAGGGCAGGAGCCGCCGCACCUGCAGCCACAUGCGUCGGCGAAACCGAACAAGAGGAGGUUCAGGGCCAGCAGCGAGGCCACCAAGGCCACUUUCUUCGCCAUCUCGCUACCACCACGUACUCCUACGUACGUACGCAGCACACAGCAGUCGUAGCUUGGUUUCUAGCGUACCUGCAGAUCAGACUGCAGGUCGCUAGUGUGUGUG